RNAcentral lists this ribosomal RNA (730 nucleotides) under uncultured bacterium. RNAcentral describes it as "bacterial SSU rRNA". It matches the Rfam family "Bacterial small subunit ribosomal RNA", at positions 771 to 1501 of the family's 1533-position model. The record is from RNAcentral.
AACAGGAUUAGAUACCCUGGUAGUCCACGCCGUAAACGAUGUCGACUUGGGGGUUGUGCCCUUGAGGCGUGGCUUCCGGAGCUAACGCGUUAAGUCGACCGCCUGGGGAGUACGGCCGCAAGGUUAAAACUCAAAUGAAUUGACGGGGGCCCGCACAAGCGGUGGAGCAUGUGGUUUAAUUCGAUGCAACGCGAAGAACCUUACCUGGUCUUGACAUCCACAGAACUUUCCAGAGAUGGAUUGGUGCCUUCGGGAACUGUGAGACAGGUGCUGCAUGGCUGUCGUCAGCUCGUGUUGUGAAAUGUUGGGUUAAGUCCCGCAACGAGCGCAACCCUUAUCCUUUGUUGCCAGCGGUCCGGCCGGGAACUCAGAGGAGACUGCCAGUGAUAAACUGGAGGAAGGUGGGGAUGACGUCAAGUCAUCAUGGCCCUUACGACCAGGGCUACACACGUGCUACAAUGGCGCAUACAAAGAGAAGCGACCUCGCGAGAGCAAGCGGACCUCAUAAAGUGCGUCGUAGUCCGGAUUGGAGUCUGCAACUCGACUCCAUGAAGUCGGAAUCGCUAGUAAUCGUGGAUCAGAAUGCCACGGUGAAUACGUUCCCGGGCCUUGUACACACCGCCCGUCACACCAUGGGAGUGGGUUGCAAAAGAAGUAGGUAGCUUAACCUUCGGGAGGGCGCUUACCACUUUGUGAUUCAUGACUGGGGUGAAGUCGUAACAAGGUAACC